AUGAACGCUGGCGGCGUGCCUAAUACAUGCAAGUCGAGCGCACGGACGAGAAGCUUGCUUCUCUGAUGUUAGCGGCGGACGGGUAAGUAACACGUGGAUAACCUACCUAUAAGACUGGGAUAACUUCGGGAAACCGGAGCUAAUACCGGAUAAUAUUUUGAACCGCAUGGUUCAAAAGUGAAAGACGGUCUUGCUGUCACUUAUAGAUGGAUCCGCGCUGCAUUAGCUAGUUGGUAAGGUAACGGCUUACCAAGGCAACGAUGCAUAGCCGACCUGAGAGGGUGAUCGGCCACACUGGAACUGAGACACGGUCCAGACUCCUACGGGAGGCAGCAGUAGGGAAUCUUCCGCAAUGGGCGAAAGCCUGACGGAGCAACGCCGCGUGAGUGAUGAAGGUCUUCGGAUCGUAAAACUCUGUUAUUAGGGAAGAACAUAUGUGUAAGUAACUGUGCACAUCUUGACGGUACCUAAUCAGAAAGCCACGGCUAACUACGUG
Molecule: ribosomal RNA, 496 nt
Filed under: uncultured bacterium
Lineage: Bacteria
Description: partial 16S ribosomal RNA
Rfam family: Bacterial small subunit ribosomal RNA
Source: RNAcentral